GAUGAAGAACGCAGUGAAAUGCGAUAAUUAAUGUGAAUUGCAGAAUUUAGUGAAUCAUCGAAUCUUUGAACGCACAUUGCGCCCCUUGGUAUUCCGGGGGGCAUGCCUGUUCGAGCGUCAUUUCAACCCUCAAGCUCUGCUUGGUCUUGGGCCGCGCCGGCAACUGCGGGCCUCAAAAACAGUGGCGGCGCCAUCUGGUCCCUCAGCGUAGUAAUUCUUCUCGCUGCUGGGCCCCGGUGGCCGCUUGCCAGCAACCCCAAACUUUCUAUGGUUGACCUCGGAUCAGGUAGGGAUACCCGCUGAACUUAAGCAUAUCAAUAAGCGGAGGA
Molecule: unclassified non-coding RNA, 329 nt
Filed under: soil metagenome
Description: partial contains 5.8S ribosomal RNA, internal transcribed spacer 2, and large subunit ribosomal RNA
Rfam family: 5.8S ribosomal RNA (bases 1-120)
Source: RNAcentral